Molecule: unclassified non-coding RNA, 327 nt
Filed under: soil metagenome
Description: partial contains 5.8S ribosomal RNA, internal transcribed spacer 2, and large subunit ribosomal RNA
Rfam family: 5.8S ribosomal RNA (bases 1-120)
Source: RNAcentral
GAUGAAGAACGUAGCGAAAUGCGAUAAGUAAUGUGAAUUGCAGAAUUCAGUGAAUCAUCGAAUCUUUGAACGCACAUUGCGCCCCUUGGUAUUCCGGGGGGCAUGCCUGUUCGAGCGUCAUUAUAACCCCUCAAGCUCAGAUUGGUGUUGGGGCCUGCCGACUGGCAGCCCUUAAAAUCAGUGGCGGCGCCAUCUGGCUCUAAGCGUAGUAAUUUCUCUCGCUAUAGAGUCCCGGUGGAUGCUUGCCAGCAACCCCCAACUUUCUAUGGUUGACCUCGGAUCAGGUAGGGAUACCCGCUGAACUUAAGCAUAUCAAUAAGCGGAGGA